GUUGCAAAUUACUCAAUAACUUUGAAUCCCAAUUUAAACUUGAGAUACAUGAAAUACAACUUGAUAUUUUGUGUGUGUAUAUGUGUGUGUGUAAUUAUCAUCUCAAAAUUAACAUGUAUAAAACUUUUCUUUAAAUUAGUUAAAAUUACUUUGGCUAAGCUUUGAACAUAAUUAGAAUUUCAUAUAUGCUAUAGUUCAACUGACUCAAAUUCUAGGAUGUUAUAUGGGAACUGAGGCCAAUACACGUUAAAUGAAUAGUAGAAGUGGAAGUGGAAAAUCUCUAAGGAUUUUCAUACUUUAUAGUUGGUAUACUUAUUUUACUUGGUGAUAAGUCAAUAGUGUUGCAUUAAAUGUGAAAGUGUUUUAACUGUUCAAAUAAUAACAGUAGUCUUAUUUGAAUAAACAUGGCCAAGUUAAAGAAAUUUAAAUCAGAAAAGGAAACCUACAUAUCAUAUGAUAUAAUGUUCAUUAUUUCUAAUUUUAAUGAUUUAUUUUUCCACACCAGGAAAAUCAUCUUUUGGAGUUUUAUGAAGAACUUCUCAUGGGUCACAGACAUGAAGUUUUCCUUCUCCAAAUUUCUUGCUUUCAAAAGGAAGGACAUUUUGCCAUAUGAACAUAAAAAUUGCAUUGUUUCCUUGACUGAGCCUAAGAAGCCAAUGACUCUCAGGUGAAGCGUUCUAAAGAAUGUUUCAGCUGAUUUUCUUAGUGUAAAUUAAGGAAUGCUUAUGAUUUUAAAAGCAAUGAGGAUAUUUAUUAAUUCAAUGAGCAAGUAUUUACUGAACAUCUCUGAUGUGCAGUGUGCUCUUCCAAGCAAUGAACAGCAUUGUUGCUUGAGGGAAUAAAUGUGCCUGCUUUCACAGAGCCUGCAUUAUAGUUCAGAAAUAAACAGUGAACAAGGAAACUGAUUUACAUAAAUAGUGUAUUUUAAAAUAGUUAUACGAACCAGGAAAAAAAGACUAAGCAGGAUUACAUGAUGAAAUGACUGGUGGGAUCAAUGGGAGAAGGUGGUCAGAAAAGUUUUUUCUGUAUAGCUGACAAUUUAGCCAAAGGAAUCAUUAAUUUAUUACAGAAGUCAGUCUUCUAUACUUUUGAUAAACUUUAAGUCUGCAUAAUGAAUUAAAGUCGCAUAC
RNAcentral lists this long non-coding RNA (1130 nucleotides) under Sus scrofa (pig). RNAcentral describes it as "lncRNA (ENSSSCG00045031353.1)". The record is from RNAcentral. Lineage: Eukaryota; Metazoa; Chordata; Mammalia; Artiodactyla; Suidae.